Long non-coding RNA from Homalodisca vitripennis (glassy-winged sharpshooter), 405 nucleotides. RefSeq lists it as uncharacterized. Lineage: Eukaryota; Metazoa; Arthropoda; Insecta; Hemiptera; Cicadellidae. The transcript is spliced from 2 exons. The record is from RefSeq and is a predicted model, not a curated record.
UGGCAGCAUGGAGCGGACUGCCAAGCAGCAGAGUCCCGGUGCCCAGCCAGUCUGACAUUGGGUACUGACCUCGACCCAACACACCCUGCGAGCGACCAGCAUGACCCGGACUGAGCCUUCUCCUGCGCGGAGUGACGUGAGCCAGACAUCGACAGCCUCUCUGAGGCCCCCUGCCAGCACCGGCGGCAGUAAGCCCCCCAACAGUGCCCCCCUGCUGCGGAAAGUCGCCAAGAAAUGAUAAGCCCAGCCUUCCCACGUUUGGUGUUACCCGACCUCUAGUGUUCAGAACAGUGCUUGUAAAUAUUCCCGCCAAUACAUUGUACAGUUUUAUAAAGUGCCUUGUUAUCCUCUACUGAGACAGUUUAUUUCUGUAAAUAAAUACACUGAAGUUACUGUUGAUUUUAA